CCUACGGGAGGCAGCAGUGGGGAAUAUUGGACAAUGGGCGAAAGCCUGAUCCAGCCAUGCCGCGUGUGUGAAGAAGGCCUUCGGGUUGUAAAGCACUUUCAGUUGGGAAGAAAGCCUUGGGGCUAAUACCCUCGAGGAAGUACAUCACCCACAGAAGAAGCACCGGCUAACUCCGUGCCAGCAGCCGCGGUAAUACGGAGGGUGCGAGCGUUAAUCGGAAUUACUGGGCGUAAAGCGCGCGUAGGCGGUCUGAUAAGCCGGUUGUGAAAGCCCCGGGCUCAACCUGGGAACGGCAUCCGGAACUGUCAGGCUAGAGUGCAGGAGAGGAAGGUAGAAUUCCCGGUGUAGCGGUGAAAUGCGUAGAGAUCGGGAGGAAUACCAGUGGCGAAGGCGGCCUUCUGGACUGACACUGACGCUGAGGUGCGAAAGCGUGGGUAGCAAACAGGAUUAGAUACCCCAGUAGUC
This 465-nucleotide ribosomal RNA is filed under the name Vreelandella stevensii. Its description in RNAcentral is "partial 16S ribosomal RNA". It matches the Rfam family "Bacterial small subunit ribosomal RNA", at positions 338 to 795 of the family's 1533-position model. Lineage: Bacteria; Pseudomonadati; Pseudomonadota; Gammaproteobacteria; Oceanospirillales; Halomonadaceae. The record is from RNAcentral.